Megalobrama amblycephala (Wuchang bream) is the source of this 318-nucleotide long non-coding RNA. RefSeq lists it as uncharacterized. NCBI's taxonomy places the organism in Eukaryota, Metazoa, Chordata, Actinopteri, Cypriniformes, Xenocyprididae. The record is from RefSeq and is a predicted model, not a curated record. The transcript has 3 exons.
UCUAUAUUAUCGUUCACAAGUUAUGUGAAAAUAACGCUAAAGUAGCGGAACUUUUCUUUGGGGAUUUGUUGGGGAAGGGAACGUUGUCAGUGGAACGCACCUGCGGGGUUUCCUCUUGCACGGCAAGCGAUUGCGUCAGUCUACUUGUGUAUGAAGCCGAUGACGCAUGUGCUUUUCGCUUCUCCACGAAAAAUAUUCUGUAUGCUCCAGUAUACCAGAGUGGGAGAAGUUGUCGCCCCGUUGCUCCACUGAUUAUUUCUCUUAAUUACAGAAUUACAGUGCUGAAUCUCAACAAGUGGUCGUGUGGUCCUUGUGUGA